UACAGAGGUCUCAAGCGUUGUCCGGAAUCAUUGGGCGUAAAGCGCGUGUAGGCGGCUUGGUAAGUCUGCUCUGAAAGCCCGGGGCUCAACCCCGGGAGGCGGGUGGAUACUGUCAAGCUCGAGUCCGGAAGAGGAGUGUGGAAUUCCUGGUGUAGCGGUGAAAUGCGCAGAUAUCAGGAGGAACACCGGGUGGCGAAGGCGGGUCUCUGGGCAACAACUGACGCUGAGGAGCGAAAGCGUGGGGAGCGAACAGG
RNAcentral lists this ribosomal RNA (254 nucleotides) under uncultured bacterium. RNAcentral's name for it is "partial 16S ribosomal RNA". It matches the Rfam family "Bacterial small subunit ribosomal RNA", at positions 524 to 776 of the family's 1533-position model. The record is from RNAcentral.